GUGGCGGGACGACCCGCCACUUUUCCCGUUUCGUGGGGACGGCCCUG
Molecule: non-coding RNA, 47 nt
Filed under: Rhodanobacter spathiphylli
Lineage: Bacteria; Pseudomonadati; Pseudomonadota; Gammaproteobacteria; Lysobacterales; Rhodanobacteraceae
Also listed under: 1 other name
Description: Rhodanobacter sp. Guanidine-II sequence
Rfam family: Guanidine-II riboswitch aptamer (mini-ykkC)
About the family: Simpler in structure and has fewer highly conserved nucleotide positions than the ykkC-yxkD leader. Despite this each of its two stem-loop structures directly bind free guanidine.
Source: RNAcentral